GGAUUGCGCAUUAACAUAUGCAGGACAGUAGUUUAAUUUUUAUCAAAUUGAUACCUUAUAUUUUCUCCGUUAGCAAAUAUGAUCCAAAUUGUUAGUUACAGUCAAAUGAUGCUAAAGCGGCGAAUAUUAUGGCAUUGAUGUGGCAACACAUAGAAGACGUAAUGCUUACAUGGCAUUUAUGUGGCGAACACGUAGCGCUUACGUAUCACCAUGUUAGCACAGUGCGUUCGCCAAG
RNAcentral lists this unclassified non-coding RNA (235 nucleotides) under Hevea brasiliensis (rubber tree). The record is from RNAcentral. Lineage: Eukaryota; Viridiplantae; Streptophyta; Magnoliopsida; Malpighiales; Euphorbiaceae.